GACGAACGCUGGCGGCGUGCUUAACACAUGCAAGUCGAGCGAAGUAUUCAAGAUAGAUUUCUUCGGAUUGAAGUCUUGAAUAUCUUAGCGGCGAACGGGUGAGUAACGCGUGAGAAACCUGCCUUUCACAAAGGGAUAGCCUCGGGAAACUGGGAUUAAUACCUUAUGAUACUUACAUUUCACAUGAGAAGUAAGUUAAAGCGCAAAGCGGUGAAAGAUGGUCUCGCGUCCCAUUAGUUAGUUGGUGAGGUAACGGCUCACCAAGA
RNAcentral lists this ribosomal RNA (266 nucleotides) under uncultured bacterium. RNAcentral describes it as "partial 16S ribosomal RNA". It matches the Rfam family "Bacterial small subunit ribosomal RNA", at positions 28 to 273 of the family's 1533-position model. The record is from RNAcentral.